RNAcentral lists this ribosomal RNA (253 nucleotides) under uncultured Sphingomonadales bacterium. Its description in RNAcentral is "partial 16S ribosomal RNA". It matches the Rfam family "Bacterial small subunit ribosomal RNA", at positions 524 to 776 of the family's 1533-position model. RNAcentral also lists the same sequence under 1 other name. The record is from RNAcentral. Lineage: Bacteria; Pseudomonadati; Pseudomonadota; Alphaproteobacteria; Sphingomonadales.
UACGGAGGGAGCUAGCGUUGUUCGGAAUUACUGGGCGUAAAGCGCGCGUAGGCGGCGAACCAAGUCAGGGGUGAAAUCCCGGGGCUCAACCCCGGAACUGCCCUUGAAACUAGUUUGCUAGAAUCUUGGAGAGGUCAGUGGAAUUCCGAGUGUAGAGGUGAAAUUCGUAGAUAUUCGGAAGAACACCAGUGGCGAAGGCGACUGACUGGACAAGUAUUGACGCUGAGGUGCGAAAGCGUGGGGAGCAAACAGG